Non-coding RNA from Paramarasmius palmivorus, 98 nucleotides. NCBI's taxonomy places the organism in Eukaryota, Fungi, Basidiomycota, Agaricomycetes, Agaricales, Marasmiaceae. The record is from the annotation of a GenBank genome assembly.
GCCCGCCUAGCUCAAUUGGAUAGAGCAUCAGACUCCUCUAUUCUUCAAUGUAAUGAAGUGAGAUUUGAAGGCUGCGAGUUCGACCCUCGCGGCAGGCU